RNAcentral lists this unclassified non-coding RNA (507 nucleotides) under Hevea brasiliensis (rubber tree). Lineage: Eukaryota; Viridiplantae; Streptophyta; Magnoliopsida; Malpighiales; Euphorbiaceae. The record is from RNAcentral.
AUCCUUUAACCACUCUCCUCUUCCUCGCGGUUUUAGUUGCCUCUUCUGUAACCCAUGUCAGAUCGGACGCAUCUGACCACCGUUAUAAGGACGGUGAUCCUGUUCCUCUCUACGCCAACAAGGUUGGACCUUUUCACAACCCAAGGUAAUUCGAUCAUUUGCCCUCUUUCCUCGUUCCUCUCAUUGAUCUGUCUUAUUGAUUUACUGGAUCUGGGUUAUUGAUUUCGCUUUCGAAUUCAUAUAGCCCUGUUUGGAUGGAUGUUGAUUAUUGGAUUAGGAAAAUGUGAAUUAGAGAAUGAGACCCGCAAUGUAUAUUUGGGUUUUAAGUUUUGGGAAUUGAAUAAAAGAAUGGUGCCAAAUGCGUCCGUAUGCGAUUCUAAUUUUAUUUGCAAUGUUUUUUUAAUUUCAAUUUUGAUGUAGUAGUGUUUCCCGCCCUUUUGAGUUGUUAUUGAUUUUGUAUUGUUACUUGGCUGAUUUUUCAGCGAAACGUAUCGCUAUUUCGAUCUG